This is a long non-coding RNA of Sinocyclocheilus grahami, 608 nucleotides long. RefSeq lists it as uncharacterized. The record is from RefSeq and is a predicted model, not a curated record. The transcript has 2 exons. NCBI's taxonomy places the organism in Eukaryota, Metazoa, Chordata, Actinopteri, Cypriniformes, Cyprinidae.
UCACACAGUAGCAAACUCCUCAGCUUUCAGUGACAACUCACUUAUUUCAGAUGAAAAUAGGUCACCAGUGAGAUUUGCUCAGAUCCAGUGAGAAGUGUUUUUAGGGGGGGGUCUUACAAGAGUAAUAAAGAACUCUGGGGCCGGGUGCAUAAACGGUUUAGACUAGUCUUAAAAAGUUAGUCAUCUCAUUAAGAUCUGGGUAACUGCUAGUUGAUCAAACUAGUUCUUGACACACAGUCUUAACACGGUGGCUAAGUUUAUGCAUCUGGCCCCUGGUUGUUUCAGUAAGUUCUGUAUAGUGUUUUCUCUACUCUUUACUAAACUAUGUCUAAAAAGAGUAAUAUUUGAUGUGUUUGAGGUCAGAGAUGUGUGAACGCUGAAGAGAGAGAGAGAGGACACACAUUUAGCGCUUUAGCUCAGCAUUUCCGUCUAAUCCGCCGAUACUGUCUUUAAUAGCCUGCAGCAUAGCACUUCAUCUUUUAUAACAUGAUUCUCACCAAAUAUAUUCUAUCUGGAUUUUUGUCAAAUCUUGCAACAAGGUGUUAAAAAAUGUUUUUUUUGUGUGUGUGUGAAAAAUUUGUUUUGGACAUAUAAGGUAAUAAAAAUAU